This 2863-nucleotide ribosomal RNA is filed under the name Escherichia coli. Its description in RNAcentral is "partial 23S ribosomal RNA". It matches the Rfam family "Bacterial large subunit ribosomal RNA". The record is from RNAcentral. Lineage: Bacteria; Pseudomonadati; Pseudomonadota; Gammaproteobacteria; Enterobacterales; Enterobacteriaceae.
UGCUAAUCUGCGAUAAGCGUCGGUAAGGUGAUAUGAACCGUUAUAACCGGCGAUUUCCGAAUGGGGAAACCCAGUGUGUUUCGACACACUAUCAUUAACUGAAUCCAUAGGUUAAUGAGGCGAACCGGGGGAACUGAAACAUCUAAGUACCCCGAGGAAAAGAAAUCAACCGAGAUUCCCCCAGUAGCGGCGAGCGAACGGGGAGCAGCCCAGAGCCUGAAUCAGUGUGUGUGUUAGUGGAAGCGUCUGGAAAGGCGUGCGAUACAGGGUGACAGCCCCGUACACAAAAAUGCACAUGCUGUGAGCUCGAUGAGUAGGGCGGGACACGUGGUAUCCUGUCUGAAUAUGGGGGGACCAUCCUCCAAGGCUAAAUACUCCUGACUGACCGAUAGUGAACCAGUACCGUGAGGGAAAGGCGAAAAGAACCCCGGCGAGGGGAGUGAAAAAGAACCUGAAACCGUGUACGUACAAGCAGUGGGAGCACGCUUAGGCGUGUGACUGCGUACCUUUUGUAUAAUGGGUCAGCGACUUAUAUUCUGUAGCAAGGUUAACCGAAUAGGGGAGCCGAAGGGAAACCGAGUCUUAACUGGGCGUUAAGUUGCAGGGUAUAGACCCGAAACCCGGUGAUCUAGCCAUGGGCAGGUUGAAGGUUGGGUAACACUAACUGGAGGACCGAACCGACUAAUGUUGAAAAAUUAGCGGAUGACUUGUGGCUGGGGGUGAAAGGCCAAUCAAACCGGGAGAUAGCUGGUUCUCCCCGAAAGCUAUUUAGGUAGCGCCUCGUGAAUUCAUCUCCGGGGGUAGAGCACUGUUUCGGCAAGGGGGUCAUCCCGACUUACCAACCCGAUGCAAACUGCGAAUACCGGAGAAUGUUAUCACGGGAGACACACGGCGGGUGCUAACGUCCGUCGUGAAGAGGGAAACAACCCAGACCGCCAGCUAAGGUCCCAAAGUCAUGGUUAAGUGGGAAACGAUGUGGGAAGGCCCAGACAGCCAGGAUGUUGGCUUAGAAGCAGCCAUCAUUUAAAGAAAGCGUAAUAGCUCACUGGUCGAGUCGGCCUGCGCGGAAGAUGUAACGGGGCUAAACCAUGCACCGAAGCUGCGGCAGCGACGCUUAUGCGUUGUUGGGUAGGGGAGCGUUCUGUAAGCCUGCGAAGGUGUGCUGUGAGGCAUGCUGGAGGUAUCAGAAGUGCGAAUGCUGACAUAAGUAACGAUAAAGCGGGUGAAAAGCCCGCUCGCCGGAAGACCAAGGGUUCCUGUCCAACGUUAAUCGGGGCAGGGUGAGUCGACCCCUAAGGCGAGGCCGAAAGGCGUAGUCGAUGGGAAACAGGUUAAUAUUCCUGUACUUGGUGUUACUGCGAAGGGGGGACGGAGAAGGCUAUGUUGGCCGGGCGACGGUUGUCCCGGUUUAAGCGUGUAGGCUGGUUUUCCAGGCAAAUCCGGAAAAUCAAGGCUGAGGCGUGAUGACGAGGCACUACGGUGCUGAAGCAACAAAUGCCCUGCUUCCAGGAAAAGCCUCUAAGCAUCAGGUAACAUCAAAUCGUACCCCAAACCGACACAGGUGGUCAGGUAGAGAAUACCAAGGCGCUUGAGAGAACUCGGGUGAAGGAACUAGGCAAAAUGGUGCCGUAACUUCGGGAGAAGGCACGCUGAUAUGUAGGUGAAGUCCCUCGCGGAUGGAGCUGAAAUCAGUCGAAGAUACCAGCUGGCUGCAACUGUUUAUUAAAAACACAGCACUGUGCAAACACGAAAGUGGACGUAUACGGUGUGACGCCUGCCCGGUGCCGGAAGGUUAAUUGAUGGGGUCAGCGCAAGCGAAGCUCUUGAUCGAAGCCCCGGUAAACGGCGGCCGUAACUAUAACGGUCCUAAGGUAGCGAAAUUCCUUGUCGGGUAAGUUCCGACCUGCACGAAUGGCGUAAUGAUGGCCAGGCUGUCUCCACCCGAGACUCAGUGAAAUUGAACUCGCUGUGAAGAUGCAGUGUACCCGCGGCAAGACGGAAAGACCCCGUGAACCUUUACUAUAGCUUGACACUGAACAUUGAGCCUUGAUGUGUAGGAUAGGUGGGAGGCUUUGAAGUGUGGACGCCAGUCUGCAUGGAGCCGACCUUGAAAUACCACCCUUUAAUGUUUGAUGUUCUAACGUUGACCCGUAAUCCGGGUUGCGGACAGUGUCUGGUGGGUAGUUUGACUGGGGCGGUCUCCUCCUAAAGAGUAACGGAGGAGCACGAAGGUUGGCUAAUCCUGGUCGGACAUCAGGAGGUUAGUGCAAUGGCAUAAGCCAGCUUGACUGCGAGCGUGACGGCGCGAGCAGGUGCGAAAGCAGGUCAUAGUGAUCCGGUGGUUCUGAAUGGAAGGGCCAUCGCUCAACGGAUAAAAGGUACUCCGGGGAUAACAGGCUGAUACCGCCCAAGAGUUCAUAUCGACGGCGGUGUUUGGCACCUCGAUGUCGGCUCAUCACAUCCUGGGGCUGAAGUAGGUCCCAAGGGUAUGGCUGUUCGCCAUUUAAAGUGGUACGCGAGCUGGGUUUAGAACGUCGUGAGACAGUUCGGUCCCUAUCUGCCGUGGGCGCUGGAGAACUGAGGGGGGCUGCUCCUAGUACGAGAGGACCGGAGUGGACGCAUCACUGGUGUUCGGGUUGUCAUGCCAAUGGCACUGCCCGGUAGCUAAAUGCGGAAGAGAUAAGUGCUGAAAGCAUCUAAGCACGAAACUUGCCCCGAGAUGAGUUCUCCCUGACUCCUUGAGAGUCCUGAAGGAACGUUGAAGACGACGACGUUGAUAGGCCGGGUGUGUAAGCGCAGCGAUGCGUUGAGCUAACCGGUACUAAUGAACCGUGAGGCUUAACCUUACAACGCCGAAGCUGUU